RNAcentral lists this long non-coding RNA (4668 nucleotides) under Prunus persica (peach). RNAcentral's name for it is "long non-coding RNA (PPER_LNC000152)". The record is from RNAcentral. Lineage: Eukaryota; Viridiplantae; Streptophyta; Magnoliopsida; Rosales; Rosaceae.
ACCAUAGCCUUCAUCCAUCAUUUACAAAACAGAUCAUAUCAGAUAGACAUAUAACACUUCCAACAAUUGGCAUACAAGAUGCCUUCUAGUGGUAACCAAGGGGAGCUGGUGCCUCUCUCAAUUCCUUGCCCUGAAAAUGAAUAUCCUGCAUACACAAAGGCAGACAGAAUCCAGAAAUCCAGAAUUAAUAAGACGAGCCUUGAGAAUUACGUGAACAUGGUUGUCUGGUUAUAGGAAAACAGGCUAAAACAGACACGGGUGCUCAUUAUAGGCUUCACAAAAUGAAUUAGAAUCGUGAAAGCUUCCACAGAAAACAGAACUCAACACAUCUAAAGAAGUGACAAAAUUGUAAAAAACCAAUGAAAGGCAUGAUAAUGGAAAAGGUGUUUAAUACUCACCGAUGCAAAAUGGUUGACAUCUCGAUGAUGAGCUUCAUCGGCACGAAUCACAGUAAUAACAUCCUUCAGUGUAGAAUCCUUAGGAAGCCUCCAGUAGUCAAUUGCAAUUGCAGGAGCCGGUACAUUUUCAAUCUUGCCACUAUCGAUAUCCUUCAAAUACUCUGUAUAAGAGUGUAUAGCCUCCUCCUCCAGAUACCCAACAACCCUAUGUGCCAGUUUUGGGGAAAGCACAUAAAGAACAAAGAAGGCAUUGAAGAACACUCCCUGCACAGCGAGAACCAGUAGUCUCUCGUACCACACGGGCUUCACAAGUUCCACCAUCGUCAUGAGGUGCAUCCUCUCAUUCUCUGCCUCUUCAAGUAAAGCCUUAAUCCAACCACCACUCUGCUGGAACUUGCGGAGAGACCUUAAGUGCAGUAGCAUUCCUCCCACCAUACCAGGUACAGCUGCCACAGUUUCCAGCAUCAUUGCACGGCACCCAUACCGCCUCUGAAACAUACAUUUCACUAGUUCAGAACUUCAGAUCAUACUGGAAAGAAAAGGGAAAAAAAAAAAAAAGGCUUUGACCAUGACUUUUAACUAGUACGAUUAUGAACAAUAACUUAGGAAGCUUCUACACAGAUUACAACUCCUGACAACGAAGAGGCAUCUAAACUAAAUUGCAGUUAUGGUAUUUGCAAGUGUUUACCCACAAAAAUCAACAAACUUGACAUGCAAUUACAAUAAAAAGUGGUUCAAUUUUUUGCCUUGAAACCCAGGAAGUUAUAGAGCUAACUACACUUCCCCUAAUUGAUGUUUACGGAGAGAUUCCUUUAAUGGAAUGUAGAUAAACUAAUUAAAGAAUACCAGCUAUGCAUAAUUCUGUGACCAUAUAAGCAAUAACAAACAGUCUGAUCAACAAGGCUGUUUUCUCUUCACACCAAUGUUCUCAGUAAAAUUCAGUAAACAAAAAAGAGAGGAAAACAAUGAUAACAUGAACCAAAAAUAUUCUACAAUUGAUAUGUUCUGCUUCUUGUGUCAAUCGAUUGUAUUGAAAAAUUAAUAUUUGCAUAACAUGAAAAAGAUUAAAAAUAAGCAAAAAGUAACAAAAACCUGAAAGAAAACAUCAGUUGGAAUCCGAAGAAGCUUGACGGUCCUAUACGCAACUCUGUCCAGAAACGUCUUCGGCACAUGAUGCUUGCUCAGAUCAAUCGACAAGUCUGACUUAUAAGUCUCCCAUGGCUACAUUAAUUAAACAAAAUUCAAGAUCUGCUAAUUCAAAUAUAGAAACAAAAUUUCAAAUUUCAAAAAUAUAUAAAUAUAAUUCUGACUAGUGCUUCUAACCAUGAAGCAAUUCCAAGGCCACUCACUCCCGUCCUCCCUUGUGAUCUUCGGCCUCUGAAUCCCCCAGUAAUUCGAAACGACAACGCUAUCACUUCCUUUCUUGGCGUCGUCGGAAACCGAGCUCUGGCUCUCCUUCUGCUCCUUCUCCCCCAGCGACGCCGUUUCAGCAGACUGCGGCACCGUGCUCAUCAUCCUCCUCCAGUAAAACCCCAAAACGUCACCGUUCCGGCGAUUCAGAAACUCGGCGCCGUCCAACGGCCUGACGGCCACCGCCGUGGAAAUGUAGCGGUUGCAGUUGCGGCCACCGAGCAGGCCACCGACAACCGACCUCACCGCGAUCCGGUUCAUCUUCUCCGGUCCUAGAGGGUUUUAGAGAUCGUUAAUUUGGGAUUUUUUUGGUAAUAAAAUGGUUGCUUAGUUGAUUUUGUGUGGCUUUUGAGUCUUCAGGGACAAGCAGUAGGGACAUAUAAUGGUAGAGGAGCAGAAGUUACUGGAAAGGGUUUUGAUCUCCUGUUUCGCGGGAAGAUCAAAUGAUUUUAACCCGUUUGCUUGGAGAGCAAGUACGGCAUUUAUUUCUUCCAUCACGUGAAUCUCGUUGGACAAUGGCGGUUGUGUCGUGUGUGUGGGGGCGGGGGGGAGGAAUUAGUAAUUCUCUGCGCUCAGUGCCACAAUUCUUCAUCUUUCUCCUAGAAAAUUUAUUUACUGUUCACCUGUGUGCAGAAAAGUCAAUGGUAAAAUCACUGUCUUGACCAGCAGCAAAACUUGAGUCAAAUGGAAUAAUCAAGUGAAAAAACUUAUUACACAUAGCAUAUCGUAUUCGGUUAAAAUAACAAAAUAAUAAUAUCUUGUUCUAACUUUCACACAAGUGUUUUCAUUGACCAGACCUUGUGUGUAAUUUUUUACGUGGAAUUAUGUAAAUUACAAUUACCCUUUGCAUUGUUUUGCUAUUCCCGUUUCACACAACUUCAUAUAUAAUUUCUUUAUGUGGAAUUACGGAAUUACCCUUCGCUGGAUUCGAAGUCCAUGGGAGACGUUGUCAUGGGCAUUGCUGGGGUGGUUCGGACAAUUGCGUGGCUUCAUCUAUUUUGGACACCCGCUUCCUUUUAUAUAAAUGUUUUAUGUGGAACUACGGAACUGCCCUUAUCUGGAUUCCAAAUACGUGGGACUUUAUCAUGGACACUGCUGGGGUGGUUCGGACAAUUGCGUGGCUCCACUUAUUAUGGACACCCGCACUUACGUCGCUGCUGCUUUUUAGUGACGUGUGCGACGGAGGUAUUUCCAAGUAGCACCGGCAGACUUUUAUAUUUCAAAAUUCGCCAUUGAAAAUUCUGUAAAGGCAGCUGUGGGGCAGGAACCAUGUACCAGUUUUCUAAUUACAAUUAAAAAAGGAAAACACAUGUUAAAAAAGGAAAACACAUGGCAUGCACUCUAAUUAAUCCACGUUUGUCGAAAGUUGAAGAUCCGUCCAUAUUAUAAUUUAAUGUAAUGAUCAAAUUUACUUGCUUCCCUUGGAGGUAGAAAUUAUCAAACGUUCUAAGCAUAUACAAUUGGGCAUGCUCCAAUGGAAAUGACAAGCAAAGCAAUUAGAUUUGUCAAUUUGAUUAUUAUUUGUUUGCAAUUUUUGAAGUCAAGUCAGGUGUGCACCAGGUGAACUUUCCCAUCCUCAAUGUUGUGUGAGGCAAAAUAUGUGUAUGGAAGAUGUGAGUUAGGUUAAUUGGCUAAUUUAGUGUAUUCUUUACACUCGAAUUUGAUUUUAUUUUUUGUAAUUUCGCAUAAUUUAGAUUAUUAUUUGUAUAUUUAAAAAAGGGAUUGAUUCAUCCUGAUUAUAAAAAUAGGCCACUGGAUCCAAUCAAAACGAAAUUAAGAAGAUAGAAAACACGCUGUUUACAAUCUUAUUAGAUGUGUCUAGAAAACAAUCUGUGUUCAUAUACAUCAUUUAGAAUCUUCGUGAAUAUACAAGAGAGUAUUUAUUAGAUCAUAAAAGGAAGAAUAAAAAAAACUCUUUUAAUUCUUCACGUACAUACAAGAUGAGUUUUAGUGAUAACCCAGGGGAGCUGGUGCUUCUCUUAACUCCUUCCCCUGAAAAUGAAUAUCCUGCAAAACAAAACACAAAACAGAUGAGAAACCCAAAUUGAUAAGACACACCUUAAGAUAAGAUAAAUUUGAGACUAAUAAUGCAAACAUGGUUUUCUGGUUAUAGAAAACAGAAUCAAACAAAAACAAUGCUCCUCCAUGUAUCAACGGAAGAAGUAACAAAAAUUGUGAAACCAGCAAAGAUCGUGGAAAGGCAGUUCAUAAGACUCACAGAUGCAAAAUGGUUGACAUCGCGAUGGUGAGCUUCAUCCGCCCGAAUCACAGUGAUAACAUCGUGAAGUGUGGCAUCCUUAGGCAGCCUCCAGUAGUCAAUUGCGAUUGCAGGAGCCUUCACAUUUUCAAUUUUGCCAUUUUCAAUAUCCUUCAAGUACUCUGUGUACGAGUGCACAGCUUCCUCCUCCAGAUACCCAACAACCCUAUGAGCCACUUUGGGGGAAAGCGCAUAAAGCACAAAGAAGGCAUUGAAGAACACUCCCUGCACGGCGAGAACCAGAAGCCUCUCGUGCCAUGCGGGCUUCACAAGUUCCACCACCGUCAUCAGGUGCAUCCUCUCAUUCUCUGCCUCUUCAAGUAAAGCUUUGAUCCAGCCACCGCUGUGCUCGAAUUUACGGAGAGACUUCAAAUGCAGCAUCAUGCCUCCCACCAUUCCGGGGACAGCUGCCACAGUUUCCAGCAUCAUUGCAUGGCACCCAUGCCGCUUCUGCAACAUGAAUAAUGUUCAGUUUAUAUAAUUUCCUCCAACCAUGUCAAAUUUUUAUGUUCCCCUUUUAUAAUUUACUAAGAACAAACAUCGGAAUUCCGAAAUUCACAAGCAUUUUACAUUGAUUCAAGCUUGUAACAGACUCAUAAUAAA